This 253-nucleotide ribosomal RNA is filed under the name uncultured bacterium. Its description in RNAcentral is "partial 16S ribosomal RNA". It matches the Rfam family "Bacterial small subunit ribosomal RNA", at positions 524 to 776 of the family's 1533-position model. The record is from RNAcentral.
UACAGAGGUCUCAAGCGUUGUUCGGAUUCAUUGGGCGUAAAGGGUGCGUAGGCGGCGCGGUAAGUCGGGUGUGAAAUCUCGGAGCUUAACUCCGAAACUGCAUUCGAUACUGCCGUGCUUGAGGACUGGAGAGGAGACUGGAAUUUACGGUGUAGCGGUGAAAUGCGUAGAUAUCGUAAGGAAGACCAGUGGCGAAGGCGGGUCUCUGGGCCGAUACUGACGCUGAGGAGCGAAAGCGUGGGGAGCAAACAGG